ACCCGCUGAACUUAAGCAUAUCAAUAAGCGGAGGAAAAGAAACCAACAGGGAUUGCCCUAGUAACGGCGAGUGAAGCGGCAACAGCUCAAAUUUGAAAUCUGGCUCUUUUAGAGUCCGAGUUGUAAUUUGCAGAGGGCGCUUUGGCUUUGGCAGCGGUCCAAGUUCCUUGGAACAGGACGUCACAGAGGGUGAGAAUCCCGUACGUGGUCGCUGGCUAUUGCCGUGUAAAGCCCCUUCGACGAGUCGAGUUGUUUGGGAAUGCAGCUCUAAAUGGGAGGUACAUUUCUUCUAAAGCUAAAUAUUGGCCAGAGGCCGAUAGCGCACAAGUAGAGUGAUCGAAAGAUGAAAAGCACUUUGGAAAGAGAGUCAAACAGCACGUGAAAUUGUUGAAAGGGAAGCGCUUGCAGCCAGACUUGCUUACAGUUGCUCAUCCGGGCUUUUGCCCGGUGCACUCUUCUGUAGGCAGGCCAGCAUCAGUUUGGGCGGUAGGAUAAAGGUCUCUGUCACGUACCUCUCUUCGGGGAGGCCUUAUAGGGGAGACGACAUACUACCAGCCUGGACUGAGGUCCGCGCAUCUGCUAGGAUGCUGGCGUAAUGGCUGU
This 603-nucleotide ribosomal RNA is filed under the name uncultured fungus. RNAcentral's name for it is "eukaryotic LSU rRNA". It matches the Rfam family "Eukaryotic large subunit ribosomal RNA", at positions 23 to 641 of the family's 3401-position model. Lineage: Eukaryota; Fungi. The record is from RNAcentral.